Molecule: ribosomal RNA, 491 nt
Filed under: uncultured bacterium
Lineage: Bacteria
Description: partial 16S ribosomal RNA
Rfam family: Bacterial small subunit ribosomal RNA
Source: RNAcentral
AGUGAACGCUGGCGGUAGGCCUAAUACAUGCAAGUCGAACGGCAGCACAGUAAGAGCUUGCUCUUACGGGUGGCGAGUGGCGGACGGGUGAGGAAUACAUCGGAAUCUACUUUUUCGUGGGGGAUAACGUAGGGAAACUUACGCUAAUACCGCAUACGACCUACGGGUGAAAGCAGGGGAUCUUCGGACCUUGCGCGAUUGAAUGAGCCGAUGUCGGAUUAGCUAGUUGGCGGGGUAAAGGCCCACCAAGGCGACGAUCCGUAGCUGGUCUGAGAGGAUGAUCAGCCAAAGUGGAACUGGGACCCGGUCCAGCCUCCUAGGGGGGGCAGCGGUGGGGAAUUUUGGAAAAGGGGGGAAAGCCUGACCCAGCCAUCCCGGGUGGGGGAAGAAGGCCUUGGGGUUUUAAAGCCCUUUUUUUGGGAAAAAAAAGCAGCAGGUUAAUCCCCCGUUUUUCUGGCGGUACCAAAAAAAAAAGCACCGGUUAAUUUCGU